This is a non-coding RNA of Zea mays, 98 nucleotides long. NCBI's taxonomy places the organism in Eukaryota, Viridiplantae, Streptophyta, Magnoliopsida, Poales, Poaceae. The record is from Rfam.
UAUUGUUGCGAUGAGGAUACCAAGCUCCCUCUUCUGAAAGCAGUGAGGACACUUGCCGGCAGAAUCGAACCAAUAACCUUAUUGCCACCACUGAGUAA